Oryzias melastigma (Indian medaka) is the source of this 819-nucleotide long non-coding RNA. RefSeq lists it as uncharacterized. NCBI's taxonomy places the organism in Eukaryota, Metazoa, Chordata, Actinopteri, Beloniformes, Adrianichthyidae. The record is from RefSeq and is a predicted model, not a curated record. The transcript is spliced from 2 exons.
GUCACCAGGAAGUGAGAACGCGAGUAGCAGGCAGUUUCCUGGACACGGAUAGUCGGCCAAUCAUUCGGCGUAUCUGCAAUGUGCUCCAGUAGCCGUACGAAUAUUGCGUAGACUCGCUCCUUCUCAGCGACAGAAAGUGUUCUGCUGCACGAUUCCUUCCCUCCCCGCAAACAGGGGAGUAAAGCUGCUGCUUUGCCUUAUGUGUUUUUGUGCCUGAGCUCGAGCGCGCCCGCCCCCUUCCUCGCCGCGGUAGAAGAAAGACACACGCCCGCUGCACGGAGGCUACCUCAACGUGGAAGCCGUCUCGUGGGACUGGACAGUUUCUUCUCUCCCCACCAUCACUUUGCGUCUGACUGGCGGUCGGGUGGUUGGCCCUGCACGCCCGGUGUUCCUUUUUAUUUUAUUUUAACUGAUUUUAUUGUGAUUUUUAUUCUUUUUGUUUCUGUUUCAGGAGGUGGGACCCCGAGGUGGUGGACUGCUGUCUGGUGGUGGGUCCCGCGUGUUGUGUCCUGUCACGUUUGCAGUGAAUCUCCACUUCCGGUGUUUUAGUUUUGUGGUGUUUUUAUUGCAGCUCCAGCCACCUCGGUGAGCUCCCCCUCUGUGUUCUUUUUUUAUGUGGAAGUUGUUUUAACAUUUUAUAUAGCUCUUAAUAAAUUAUAUUUUUAAUAUUUUACCCAGCCUCUGCCUUGGUUUAAAGUAAGAAUUUUACGUGUCCUUUAAUUUAAUUUCCUGGGGCCAAACAGCCCCAGGUGGCAUUGUUGCAACACACCACACCCGUGUCGCCACACUUCUGCUUUUCUAGAUUAAGGAAAAAAAAAA